This 497-nucleotide ribosomal RNA is filed under the name uncultured bacterium. RNAcentral describes it as "partial 16S ribosomal RNA". It matches the Rfam family "Bacterial small subunit ribosomal RNA", at positions 28 to 507 of the family's 1533-position model. The record is from RNAcentral.
GAUGAACGCUGGCGGCGUGCCUAAUACAUGCAAGUCGAGCGAACGGACGAGAAGCUUGCUUUUCUGAUGUUAGCGGCGGACGGAUGAGUAACACGUGGAUAACCUACCUAUAAGACUGGGAUAACUUCGUGAAACCGGUACUGAUACCGGAUAAUAUUUUGAACCGCAUGGUUCAAAAGUGAAAGACGGUCUUGCUGUCACUUAUAGAUGGAUCCGCGCUGCAUUAGCUAGUUGGUAAGGUAACGGCUUACCAAGGCAACGAUGCAUAGCCGACCUGAGAGGGGGAUGGGCGACAGAGGAAGUGAGACACGGCACAGAGUCUGACGGGAGGCAGCAGUAGGGACUCGUCCGCAAUGGGCGGAAGCCUGACGGAGGAACGGCGGGCGAGUGAUGAAGGGCUUCGGGCCGUAAAACUGUGUUAUGAUUGAAGAACAUAUUCGGAAGGAACGGUGCAUAUGGUGACGGUACCUGAUGAGAAAGCCACGGCUAACUACGUG